AGUGAACGCUGGCGGUAGGCCUAACACAUGCAAGUCGAACGGCAGCACAGUAAGAGCUUGCUCUUACGGGUGGCGAGUGGCGGACGGGUGAGGAAUACAUCGGAAUCUACUUUUUCGUGGGGGAUAACGUAGGGAAACUUACGCUAAUACCGCAUACGACCUACGGGUGAAAGCAGGGGAUCUUCGGACCUUGCGCGAUUGAAUGAGCCGAUGUCGGAUUAGCUAGUUGGCGGGGUAAAGGCCCACCAAGGCGACGAUCCGUAGCUGGUCUGAGAGGAUGAUCAGCCACACUGGAGCUGAGGCACGGUCCAGACUCCUACGGGAGGCCGCAGUGGGGAAUAUUGGACGAUGGGCGCGAGCCUGAUCCAGCCCUACCGCGUGGGUGAAGAAGGCCUUCGGGUUGUAAAGCCCUUUUGUUGGGAAAGAAAAGCAGCAGGUUAAUCCCCCGCUGUUCUGACGGUACCCAAAGAAUAAGCACCGGCUAACUUCGUG
RNAcentral lists this ribosomal RNA (492 nucleotides) under uncultured bacterium. Its description in RNAcentral is "partial 16S ribosomal RNA". It matches the Rfam family "Bacterial small subunit ribosomal RNA", at positions 29 to 507 of the family's 1533-position model. The record is from RNAcentral.